UGGGGAAUAUUGGACAAUGGGCGAAAGCCUGAUCCAGCCAUGCCGCGUGUGUGAAGAAGGCCUUUUGGUUGUAAAGCACUUUAAGUGGGGAGGAAAAGCUUAUGGUUAAUACCCAUAAGCCCUGACGUUACCCACAGAAUAAGCACCGGCUAACUCUGUGCCGGCAGCCGCGGUAAUACAGAGGGUGCAAGCGUUAAUCGGAAUUACUGGGCGUAAAGCGCGCGUAGGUGGUUAUUUAAGUCAGAUGUGAAAGCCCCGGGCUUAACCUGGGAACUGCAUCUGAUACUGGAUAACUAGAGUAGGUGAGAGGGGAGUAGAAUUCCAGGUGUAGCGGUGAAAUGCGUAGAGAUCUGGAGGAAUACCGAUGGCGAAGGCAGCUCCCUGGCAUCAUACUGACACUGAGGUGCGAAAGCGUGGGUAGCAAACAGGAUUAGAUACCCUGGUAGUCCACGCCGUAAACGAUGUCUACCAGUCGUUGGGUCUUUUAAAGACUUAGUGACGCAGUUAACGCAAUAAGUAGACCGCCUGGGGAGUACGGCCGCAAGGUUA
RNAcentral lists this ribosomal RNA (549 nucleotides) under uncultured bacterium. RNAcentral describes it as "bacterial SSU rRNA". It matches the Rfam family "Bacterial small subunit ribosomal RNA", at positions 355 to 896 of the family's 1533-position model. The record is from RNAcentral.